UACGGAGGAUGCGAGCGUUAUCCGGAUUUAUUGGGUUUAAAGGGUGCGUAGGCGGUAUGGUAAGUCAGCGGUAAAAGCCCGGGGCUCAACCCCGGCCCGCCGUUGAAACUGGCAGUCUCGAGUUGGGGAGAAGUAUGCGGAAUGCGCGGUGUAGCGGUGAAAUGCAUAGAUAUCGCGCAGAACUCCGAUUGCGAAGGCAGCGUACCGGCGCCAGACUGACGCUGAGGCACGAAAGCGUGGGGAUCGAACAGG
Molecule: ribosomal RNA, 252 nt
Filed under: uncultured Bacteroidales bacterium
Lineage: Bacteria; Pseudomonadati; Bacteroidota; Bacteroidia; Bacteroidales
Description: partial 16S ribosomal RNA
Rfam family: Bacterial small subunit ribosomal RNA
Source: RNAcentral